RNAcentral lists this ribosomal RNA (430 nucleotides) under uncultured Acidobacteriota bacterium. Its description in RNAcentral is "bacterial SSU rRNA". It matches the Rfam family "Bacterial small subunit ribosomal RNA", at positions 355 to 776 of the family's 1533-position model. Lineage: Bacteria; Pseudomonadati; Acidobacteriota. The record is from RNAcentral.
UGGGGAAUUGUUCGCAAUGGGCGCAAGCCUGACGACGCAACGCCGCGUGGAGGAUGAAGAUUUUCGGAUCGUAAACUCCUGUCGAAUGGGACGAAAAGAUUGCGGGUUAAUAGCCCGUAGUCCUGACGGUACCGUUAAAGGAAACCCCGGCUAACUCCGUGCCAGCAGCCGCGGUAAUACGGGGGGGGUAAGCGUUGUUCGGAAUUACUGGGCGUAAAGGGCUCGUAGGCGGCCAACUAAGUCAUACGUGAAAUCCCUCAGCUUAACUGGGGAACUGCGUGUGAUACUGGAUGGCUUGGAUUUGGGAGAGGGAUGCGGAAUUCCAGGUGUAGCGGUGAAAUGCGUAGAUAUCUGGAGGAACACCGGUGGCGAAGGCGGCAUCCUGGACCAAUAUUGACGCUGAGGAGCGAAAGCCAGGGGAGCAAACGGG